UAGUCCACGCUGUAAACGAUGAGUGCAAGGUGUUGGGGAUCAAACCUCGGUGCCGCCGUUAACACAGUAAGCACUCCGCCUGGGGAGUACGUACGCAAGUAUGAAACUCAAAGGAAUUGACGGGGACCCGCACAAGUAGCGGAGCAUGUGGUUUAAUUCGAUGCAACGCGAAAAACCUUACCAGGGCUUGACAUAAAAGUGACGAGGGAUAGAGAUAUUCCUCUUCUCUUCGGAGACAGUUUUAC
This 245-nucleotide ribosomal RNA is filed under the name uncultured bacterium. RNAcentral's name for it is "partial 16S ribosomal RNA". It matches the Rfam family "Bacterial small subunit ribosomal RNA", at positions 791 to 1035 of the family's 1533-position model. The record is from RNAcentral.